Molecule: ribosomal RNA, 440 nt
Filed under: uncultured bacterium
Lineage: Bacteria
Description: partial 16S ribosomal RNA
Rfam family: Bacterial small subunit ribosomal RNA
Source: RNAcentral
CCUACGGGUGGCUGCAGUGGGGAAUAUUGCACAAUGGGGGAAACCCUGAUGCAGCGACGCCGCGUGAGUGAAGAAGUAUCUCGGUACGUAAAGCUCUAUCAGCAGGGAAGAAAAUGACGGUACCUGACUAAGAAGCCCCGGCUAACUACGUGCCAGCAGCCGCGGUAAUACGUAGGGGGCAAGCGUUAUCCGGAUUUACUGGGUGUAAAGGGAGCGUAGACGGCAGCACAAGUCUGGAGUGAAAUCCCGGGGGUUAACCCCGGAACUGCUUUGGAAACUGUGCGGCUGGAGUGCGGGAGGGGUAAGCGGAAUUCCUAGUGUAGCGGUGAAAUGCGUAGAUAUUAGGAGGAACACCGGUGGCGAAGGCGGCUUACUGGACUGUAACUGACGUUGAGGCUCGAAAGCGUGGGGAGCAAACAGGAUUAGAUACCCGAGUAGUC